GACGAACGCUGGCGGCGUGCUUAACACAUGCAAGUCGAGCGGUAAGGCCCUUUCGGGGGUACGACCGAGCGGCGAACGGGUGAGUAACACGUGGGUGACCUGCCCUCAGCUCUGGGAUAAGCCUGGGAAACCGGGUCCUAAUACUGGAUAUGACUCCAUGACGCAUGUUGUGGGGUGGAAAGCCUUGUGCGGCUGAGGAUGGGCCCGCGGCCUAUCAGCUUGUUGGUGGGGUGAGGCCUACCAAGGCGACGACGGGUAGCCGGCCUGAGAGGGCGACCGGCCACACUGGGACUGAGACACGGCCCAGACUCCUACGGGAGGCAGGCAGUGGGGAAUCUUGCGCAAUGGGCGAAAGCCCUGACGCAGCGACGCCGCGUGAGGGAUGACGGCCUGG
This 394-nucleotide ribosomal RNA is filed under the name uncultured bacterium. Its description in RNAcentral is "bacterial SSU rRNA". It matches the Rfam family "Bacterial small subunit ribosomal RNA", at positions 28 to 419 of the family's 1533-position model. The record is from RNAcentral.